AAUAUAUUAUUUGCAUGGAUCGAAAAAAAGAGGAGAUGCAUUCUUAGAUUGAGCUCUUCAAACGCGUGAUUGGAACCUGUUGCAUGAAAGAAUAUUUAGUUUUGGAUUUGCAAGUUAAUUACUGGAAAUUCAUGAAAACGGUAAGUGUAAACAUUAAAAGAAAGAGGUAAAUGAAAUAUAUUGUUCAUGAGGCCAGGUAAUUUUAUUAUGAUAUUUAUCAUAAGAGCUAUAAAUUUUUGAAUUAAAUGGUGUGAGUUUGUCAAAUGUUCGAUAAGCUUCUACAUUGGCACAAAUGUUUGUUUUCUUUGCCUUAUUAAACAAAUUAAAAAAAAAAAAAAAAAAAAAAAGUUAAGACAGACGAACCUUACAUCUUUAACAUUGUUAAGAAAUAAUUAGAAUCCACAUAAAAUAUAAUGCUAGUGGGUGGAAAUUUUUUUAUUAUUUUAUUCUUUUAUCGAUUUAGUUGAGACAAUUUGUAAUUCAUCGUAAAGGUAACAUGCCUAACAUGCUCAUAAAGAAAAACAACUACCAAAUGUAUUAAUGCAUUUUCAUUAUUAUACCAUCCAACACAACAGCUUGUUAUCAUUUUGUUUUAUGUAGCUAAGUAACUAACUAUACAGAAUAUGUUCUCACACAAAGAGUAAAGCAAAAUAAACUAUCUUAUCUACAUGUAACUUUCUAUAUGAAAUCUGAUAUGAUAACCUAAGAAAGAGAGCAUUAACAUACUAUAAAUUUACACAAAUCGUAGGUUAACAUAUAAAAGUUCUUUACGAUGUCUAAGCAAAAAACCCUUUUCAAAAUAAUGUUUUUCGAACUCUUCAAUAAUGUAAAGAGGUGCCUGUCGAAUCCUCCAAAAGUAAUGCAUUGUUGGAGGAUCCGACACGGGUGCUCUUGGAAAAUCCGACCGACAGAGCAAAAUAUUAUAAGUUUCUUUCUAUGGCUGUUCUAUAUCGAAAGAUGUAGAUUUGUUUUCUGAAUAGUUCUUUCAUGAACCUUGAUAUAAAGCUUAAUAACAAUGGAUUCAUGUUCGAUUGGACUAAUGUAUAUAUCACAAUUCUCUUCAUGGCAGAGCUUAAACGCAGUAGGUAAAUUCCCUAAUAUGCUCCAUUAGUGGAUGGAGUUAGUGGGGCGGAAGGGGUUCAUUUAAGAUGAACCUCCUUCACCGGAAAGUAGAAGGUACGCUCCCUAUCAACUUUCUAGUAGUUAAAGCUUACAAGCAGUAGGUACAUUCCCUAAUAUGCUCCAUCAGUGGACGUAGUUAGUGG
Molecule: long non-coding RNA, 1265 nt
Filed under: Capsicum annuum
Lineage: Eukaryota; Viridiplantae; Streptophyta; Magnoliopsida; Solanales; Solanaceae
Description: long non-coding RNA (CANN_LNC006613)
Source: RNAcentral